GUUUAAAUAGCUUAAAAUUUAAAGCUUUUCAUUGAAGAUGAAAAAAUGAUAUUUAAUAUCUUUAAACA
RNAcentral lists this transfer RNA (68 nucleotides) under Taxoblenus sp. RNAcentral describes it as "tRNA-Phe". It matches the Rfam family "tRNA". From Rfam's summary of the family: Transfer RNA (tRNA) molecules are approximately 80 nucleotides in length. The record is from RNAcentral. Lineage: Eukaryota; Metazoa; Arthropoda; Insecta; Hymenoptera; Tenthredinidae.